CCCACUUUGUAAUGACCACCACAUGGUUACGGACAGGUGCAAAAAUGAAAUCCUCUUUGGGACCCAGAACUCAUUGUUCAAUAAGAGUUUUGAUACAUUUAAGAAGGAACAUU
Molecule: small nucleolar RNA, 113 nt
Filed under: Chinchilla lanigera (long-tailed chinchilla)
Lineage: Eukaryota; Metazoa; Chordata; Mammalia; Rodentia; Chinchillidae
Description: Small nucleolar RNA SNORA40 (ENSCLAG00000018623.1)
Rfam family: Small nucleolar RNA SNORA40
About the family: The snoRNA ACA 40 belongs to the H/ACA family of snoRNAs and guides the pseudouridylation of 28S rRNA subunit at position U4565. NB This family has a high threshold value to exclude a large number of closely related sequences that do not appear to have conserved H and ACA boxes, and may be pseudogenes.
Source: Rfam by way of RNAcentral